GAUGAACGCUGGCGGCGUGCCUAAUACAUGCAAGUCGAACGCUGGAGAUCUAGCUUGCUAGAUCGAAGGAGUGGCGAACGGGUGAGUAAUACAUAAGCAACCUACCCACGAAGACUGGGAUAAUCUCUGGAAACGGGGACUAAUACCGGAUAGGUAAUCGGAAGGCAUCUUCUGGUUAUUAAAGGUUAAAAACACUGGUGGAUGGGCUUAUGGCGCAUUAGUUAGUUGGCGAGGUAACGGCCCACCAAGACGAUGAUGCGUAGCCGGCCUGAGAGGGUGAACGGCCACAUUGGGACUGAGACACGGCCCAGACUCCUACGGGAGGCAGCAGUAGGGAAUUUUCGGCAAUGGGGGCAACCCUGACCGAGCAACGCCGCGUGAGUGAAGACGGCCUUCGGGUUGUAAAGCUAUGUUGUAAGGGAAGAACGGUAGAUAGAGAAUAUCUAAGUGACGGUACCUUACCAGAAAGCCACGGCUAACUACGUG
RNAcentral lists this ribosomal RNA (486 nucleotides) under uncultured bacterium. RNAcentral describes it as "partial 16S ribosomal RNA". It matches the Rfam family "Bacterial small subunit ribosomal RNA", at positions 28 to 507 of the family's 1533-position model. The record is from RNAcentral.